GAGAGAAAAAUCAAGAGAGAAGAAAACACUACAAAGAUAUCCCAAAACAUACACAAUUACGUAAUGAAACGCAACAGACCUUCUUAAGGGUUAUUGGCAAGUUCCUCUUACCCCUCGUGCAGCUGAGAUCUCUGCCUCUGCUACACCUGAUAAUUUCCUCCAGUAAACUGUUAUGGAGUUUGGCCUCCAUAAUGCCCCAGCAACCUUCCAGAGGCUGAUGAAUAGAGUGUUGGGGGAUGUUCCGAACUGUGCAGCAUACUUGGAUGAGGUUGAUUCCAGGCCAGAGUUUCCAGCCUGCCCUAGCCUGCCCCCAUGUUGAUGACAUCAUAACUAAUCGACUAUAUAAAGAGGAAGCAGCAGCAGCAGCAGAAGAAGAAGGAGGAGGAGGGGGUGUUAGGCGUUUUGGCAACACUGGACUGUGACCGGAGCACUGAUGGCAGGAAAUGACGGUAGCUCUGGUAGUAAUCCGGAAAUGGAAGAUGAGUGCAGGAGGGAAUGAAUGGUGGAAAAGUUGUGAAUCGGAAAAGGGAGAAAACUAAGAGUCAAGGAUCAUUCUCAGACUCCUCCAUUUCAAGCUGGCUCAAAUAACAGCUUUGUAACAUUGAGUUUAGCUGCGAAAGAUACCUCACAUGCUCAAUCUAUCAAACAUAAGCCAAAGUCUCAAAAAGCUGACGGUAUGCACUUACCUGCAACAAACCUAUCUAAUCUGUCUGAAGGUGUGAUUAAGUCCGAAGUUGGGAGGACCAGCCCCAUCAUGAAUGUACCUGUUAAGCCUUAUGUCCCUCAAUACAUCCCUCCAUCUAGCACUCCACAUCAGGUAGAGUCUCUGGCACAGUAUUUAGCCAGAGGAGACCUUGUUAGUUCAGGACUUUACCUAUUUGAUGAUAAGCCUGAAAACUAUCGGCCAUGGUAUUCCUCAUUCACCAGUGCAGCUCGUGAAGUUCACCUCACAGCAACCCAGGAACUGGACCUCAUGACUAACAAAGGGACAGGACUGUGAUCAACGGGUGAUGGAAACAAGAAAGGUGAAGAGUGCCACUGCCAAUGCAACCAUUGAGGUUCAGCACUAUCUCAGUGAACCCAACAUCCCCCGCUCUGAAAAUCCACUUCAGUAUUGGCACAAGCACAUUUACCCCCAUUUAUACAUGCUGGCCCUGGGCUUUUUGUGUUCUCCUGCCUCUUCUGUGCCCUGUGAACGGGUAUUUUCUAAGGCUGGUAAAGUGGUCAGCAAG
Molecule: long non-coding RNA, 1232 nt
Organism: Tachysurus fulvidraco (yellow catfish)
Lineage: Eukaryota; Metazoa; Chordata; Actinopteri; Siluriformes; Bagridae
Exons: 3
Source: RefSeq, a predicted model, not a curated record